AUAAGCAGGUAUCCCAGCAUACCUGAGGAAGCCUCUCUGGUAAUCAAGCAGGUCUCCUUCCCCGGUUUGCUCUCACGUUCCCCGAACCCCCGUGCAAGCAGGUCUCCUUCCCUGCGGUUUGCUCUCGCGUUCCCCGAACCCCCGAGCAAGCAGGUCUCCUUCCCUGCGGUUUGCUCUCGCGUUCCCCGAACCCCCGUGCAAGCAGGUCUCCUUCCCUGCGGUUUGCUCUCGCGUUCCCCGAACCCCCGAGCAAGCAGGUCUCCUUCCCUGCGGUUUGCAGGGGG
Gopherus flavomarginatus (Mexican gopher tortoise) is the source of this 284-nucleotide long non-coding RNA. RefSeq lists it as uncharacterized. NCBI's taxonomy places the organism in Eukaryota, Metazoa, Chordata, Testudines, Testudinidae. The transcript is spliced from 3 exons. The record is from RefSeq and is a predicted model, not a curated record.